RNAcentral lists this ribosomal RNA (274 nucleotides) under uncultured bacterium. RNAcentral's name for it is "partial 16S ribosomal RNA". It matches the Rfam family "Bacterial small subunit ribosomal RNA", at positions 523 to 796 of the family's 1533-position model. The record is from RNAcentral.
AUACGGAGGAUCCAAGCGUUAUCCGGAAUCAUUGGGCUUAAAGGGUCCGUAGGUGGACAGAUAAGUCAGAGGUGAAAUCCUGCAGCUCAACUGUAGAAUUGCCUUUGAAACUGUUUGUCUUGAGUCAUUGUGAAGUGGUUAGAAUGUGUAGUGUAGCGGUGAAAUGCAUAGAUAUUACACAGAAUACCGAUUGCGAAGGCAGAUCACUAAUAAUGUACUGACACUGAUGGACGAAAGCGUGGGUAGCGAACAGGAUUAGAAACCCUAGUAGUCC